GCAAAAGCUCAAAUUUGAAAUCUGGCGCCUUCGGUGUCCGAGUUGUAAUUUGAAGAUUGUAACCUUGGGGUUGGCUCUUGUCUAUGUUUCUUGGAACAGGACGUCACAGAGGGUGAGAAUCCCGUGCGAUGAGAUGCCCAAUUCUAUGUAAGGUGCUUUCGAAGAGUCGAGUUGUUUGGGAAUGCAGCUCUAAGUGGGUGGUAAAUUCCAUCUAAAGCUAAAUAUUGGCGAGAGACCGAUAGCGAACAAGUACAGUGAUGGAAAGAUGAAAAGAACUUUGAAAAGAGAGUGAAAAAGUACGUGAAAUUGUUGAAAGGGAAGGGUUUGAGAUCAGACUCGAUAUUUUGUGAGCCUUGCCUUCGUGGCGGGGUGACCCGCAGCUUAUCGGGCCAGCAUCGGUUUGGGCGGUAGGAUAAUGGCGUAGGAAUGUGACUUUACUUCGGUGAAGUGUUAUAGCCUGCGUUGAUGCUGCCUGCCUAGACCGAGGACUGCGAUUUUAUCAAGGAUGCUGGCAUAAUGAUCCCAAACCGCCCGUCUUGAAA
RNAcentral lists this small RNA (542 nucleotides) under unidentified. Its description in RNAcentral is "eukaryotic LSU rRNA". It matches the Rfam family "Eukaryotic large subunit ribosomal RNA", at positions 101 to 659 of the family's 3401-position model. The record is from RNAcentral.